Molecule: long non-coding RNA, 413 nt
Organism: Sphaerodactylus townsendi
Lineage: Eukaryota; Metazoa; Chordata; Lepidosauria; Squamata; Sphaerodactylidae
Exons: 3
Source: RefSeq, a predicted model, not a curated record
AUCUUUUCCCACUUCUUCUUUUCUUCUCUCCUCCCAGAAUUAAAUGUAAAAGAAUCAGAUGCAAGAGUAUGCGAUGAAUCAUCAUGUAAAUAUGGGGGUGUUUGUAAGGAAGAAGGAGAGAGUUUGAAAUGUGCAUGCCAAUUUCAGUGUCACACAAAUUAUAUUCCUGUUUGUGGCUCAAACGGAGACACUUACCAAAAUGAAUGCUUCCUCAGGAGAGCUGCUUGCAAGCAUCAGAAAGAGAUAACAGUUGUCACGAGGGGACCUUGUUACUCAGACAAUGGCUCUGGUUCAGGAGAAGGAGGUAGGCAUUUCUGCUCUUUCUGCUCAUCAGUAUGAAUGCUGGAUUCUUGUUUCCAAAAGUGUUCUCUGAGAUGCCAUCCGGCAGUCCUGCCUUUGCUUUUGUCAGUGGG